CAGCUAUACAUGAUGAUCACCCCAGCUUGAACUCUCUCACUGAUCACUUGAUGAUAAUUAAAGAUCUGAUAUUCUG
Molecule: small nucleolar RNA, 76 nt
Organism: Jaculus jaculus (lesser Egyptian jerboa)
Lineage: Eukaryota; Metazoa; Chordata; Mammalia; Rodentia; Dipodidae
Gene: SNORD81
Rfam family: Small nucleolar RNA SNORD81
About the family: U81 is a member of the C/D class of snoRNA which contain the C (UGAUGA) and D (CUGA) box motifs. U81 acts as a guanine methylation guide and is found in intron 11 of the gas5 gene in mammals.
Source: Ensembl